CCUACGGGAGGCAGCAGUGGGGAAUAUUGGACAAUGGGGGCAACCCUGAUCCAGCCAUGCCGCGUGUGUGAAGAAGGCCCUCGGGUUGUAAAGCACUUUCAGUGAGGAAGAACGCCUGGUGGUUAAUACCCAUCAGGAAAGACAUCACUCACAGAAGAAGCACCGGCUAACUCCGUGCCAGCAGCCGCGGUAAUACGGAGGGUGCGAGCGUUAAUCGGAAUUACUGGGCGUAAAGCGCGCGUAGGUGGCUUGAUAAGCCGGUUGUGAAAGCCCCGGGCUCAACCUGGGAACGGCAUCCGGAACUGUCAAGCUAGAGUGCAGGAGAGGAAGGUAGAAUUCCCGGUGUAGCGGUGAAAUGCGUAGAGAUCGGGAGGAAUACCAGUGGCGAAGGCGGCCUUCUGGACUGACACUGACACUGAGGUGCGAAGGCGUGGGUAGCAAACAGGAUUAGAUACCCCUGUAGUC
RNAcentral lists this ribosomal RNA (465 nucleotides) under Vreelandella stevensii. Its description in RNAcentral is "partial 16S ribosomal RNA". It matches the Rfam family "Bacterial small subunit ribosomal RNA", at positions 338 to 795 of the family's 1533-position model. Lineage: Bacteria; Pseudomonadati; Pseudomonadota; Gammaproteobacteria; Oceanospirillales; Halomonadaceae. The record is from RNAcentral.